Molecule: long non-coding RNA, 1839 nt
Organism: Prinia subflava (tawny-flanked prinia)
Lineage: Eukaryota; Metazoa; Chordata; Aves; Passeriformes; Cisticolidae
Exons: 3
Source: RefSeq, a predicted model, not a curated record
AGGCAGAAACAGUUCAAGUAUUUCUGUGCUGGUGCCAGGAACAUGAGCAAUUAAAUGGAAGAAUUAGAAGGCCUCAUCCAGGAGGAAUGAGUAAUCCUGGGAACUGUGGAUAUGGGAGAACUUAUCUUCCAGAGCAUAGAUGGGAGAACAAGUGUUACGGAUACUCUUGAUCACAGAAAUUCUUGAUACCAGACAGAGACAGGGGAGUUUCCUGGAGGCUUUUCAAACCCUGGGGCUGGAACAAUCCCUCUGGACCUGAAGAUGACCAGGACACCGGAGAGUUCCUGCCCUGCUGAUCCCUGAGGUGCCUUGGGCUGGGCAGGGUGCUCAGAUCUCAGUCUGUGAAGGAAAACUCUGGAUGAGCACAGGAGACACAUCUCUUGGAGCACUGCUGUCCCACUGCUUCUGAUGUUUUCUUUCCUUCCACGUGUUCUUGCAGCCCUCCUGACUCCAGCAACUCAAACUCCAGGCCCUUCCCUCCCAAACACCACACAAAAUGUGCCCUGAGGAGAGCCCUCAGGGGUGAGAAACCUGUGCUGGCCUUCCUUGAAGGCCUUCCACCCCUGAGCCUGGCAGGCUGUGACCCCCUGGGACAAUCUGUGCUGCCCUGGGGCACAGUGAUGGCCAUGGAGCACCAGGACAGGGUCUCACAGAGGGUCAGGGCUGUGCUGCCCUCAGGCUGGGUGAAGGACCCCGCAGCAGAGCAGAUCCUGGCUGAGGCACUGAGCUGGGAAUGUGGUCCCUGCCCUCUCCCCUGGCCUUUUUGGGCACAUGAAGGAAAGUGUGAGGGACCACGUUGGGUCAGUGCCCAGAACCCAAGUUCACCCCUCUGACACUCCCCUGGGGACACCCCAAUUGUUGUUCAGACAUUGAUGAUGCCUCAAGACAAACUGAGAGCUGAAAUGCAGCCCAGAGGCUGGCUGGCAUCUCAGAGAACGACUGGCGAAUAAACCUUUAUGGCUUUGUUAAGGAUUUUGUGCAGGAUUCUCCCCUAAUUUAAGCUAAAAACGAGCAUCCUUAAACCCACCAGGAGCUCACGUGCGCGCUGUCACUCUGUGCUCUGACAGCCACAGAGAGGAACUCAGCAUUUGCUUUGUGCACACCCCGCCUCCCGCCGUCACCUCGCACAGGAUCCGCACCCAGACAGGCUCGGCACCACCUCUGCCUGACAAAAAACCCGGGGAAUGAGUGCCAGGGGCAGCGCCCCCACCCCGCAGCACCCGGGAGGAGUCACCGCCGUGAGCAUCAUCCCACCCAGCACACGGCUGGAACCCGGAGAAAAAGCGGCGUUUUCCUCAUUCACCCAAAAUUAUCCACCCACUGGAGCAGGUACUCCAUCCUGGUGACAAACAGGAGCUGCUGCUGCCAGCACAUGUUCUCCUGCAAACCCAGCCUGCAUCAUCUGCACAGCUCUGGUGUGCUCUGUGGCAGAUCAGCUGGAAAUGGCCAGGCCUGUGCGGGGUGUGAGCUCUGACACUGCCUGCACACACACUCACGGUGCUUCCAUCGCGUUCUGCUUUUUCAUUAACCCUCCAAGCCAGGGUUUGUUGUCUGUGCUUUUUGAUGGGUCCCAGCCCUCGGUGUGUCAGACACGGCACAAGCCCUCAGUGCUGCCUCUGAGAGCUGGCAGACUCAUAACCAUUUUUGGAUAGAAAAAUAUAACACUGCAAGGAAAAAAAAAAAUAAAAACCUUGGAUUGCAUGUAAAGAAAUAAAGCAAAAUGCUAUUCCCCCACUCCUGCUGUCUGUGCUUGAGCCUUCCAAGAAGUUCCUGUCCUCAUCUGUUCGGGUAUCAUUUUACAGCUCGAUGACAAACACAGAACUUGCCAGUUUAAACAUA